This 239-nucleotide ribosomal RNA is filed under the name uncultured bacterium. RNAcentral's name for it is "partial 16S ribosomal RNA". It matches the Rfam family "Bacterial small subunit ribosomal RNA", at positions 118 to 348 of the family's 1533-position model. The record is from RNAcentral.
UGGGUAACCUGCCUCAAAGAGGGGAAUAGCCUCCCGAAAGGGAGAUUAAUACCGCAUAAUAUGUUUUGGUCACAUGGCCUUAACAUCAAAGGAUUUCUUCGGAAAUUCACUUUGAGAUGGACCCGCGGCGCAUUAGCUAGUUGGUGAGGUAACGGCUCACCAAGGCGACGAUGCGUAGCCGACCUGAGAGGGUGAUCGGCCACAUUGGAACUGAGACACGGUCCAGACUCCUAGGGAGG